CGUCCUUCUUGUGUGCUUUGUAACGGAGAGGGCGGUGCGGCGGCAGGAGGAACAGCGAUGCGCUUGGGCAGCUUAUAAGUUGUUUUUGCCUGUUCAGCAUUGGCGGGGAAGAGCUAUGGGCAUAACAUGGGUGGAGACAGCUGUGUGGGAAGAAAAUUGAGUGACUGCUGAACGUCUGUGGCCAAGUUGGACAUAGAUUGUCUCAUAAGUCAAAAUCUCUAACAACAUAAGAGCCUACACCUCCCAAAACAGAGUUCACAGGUGUUUAUGCUUCCCCCACGACUGAGCUUCCAUCUCAGCUGUGAAGGGAUGCUAGGCCCCAUGCAGUCAAGCUCCAGAUGUGGCUGGAGAGGAGCAUCGCUCAGUCCCUGCAGCUUGGCAUUGCUCUCCUCCCUUUGUUCAUAGGAGCCUGCUUCAGACAAAGCACCUGGACUGUGUUAGAUGGGAGGGAAGAAUCGGUUCCAGAAGGAAGAAUCUCCCCUGAUCAUGCCUCUUCCCAGCAUCUAGACAUUUAAACUCAGAUACCCGCAACCAAGAACUUGAUUUUGACAGUUAAGCAAAAAGAGUGAUGGACUUUCUCAGCACCUACCUCCUACGUACCGCACCUUCAUUUGCACUCCUUGGCAGCUCCUGUGCAGCAGCAUGCAGAUCCCUGUUGGCCUGGCACAGCAGAUGGGAUGCCUUGGAUUAUGCUUGAAACUAAAAGGCAAGUUUGGUGACAUUUUGCUGCGUAUUUUCAUGUGCUAGUAGCAGGAACAUGUGAGACUGAGGUACAGCAUCACUCCUACUCCCAUCACUCCUACUCCCAUGACAAGCCUUUUCUGAACAGUUCAGCCAGUUUUGCAACUGCAGCAGUCAUUUUUCCCUGAUGCCUACAGACAGGGUCUGGAAUAAUACUGUCAACCCCCCCUUUCAGAUCUUAUGGGUAAAGGAGGAUCUGCAACUGUGAAAGGCUAGUACCAUAAUACCUUCUAAUGCCAUAGUAUCAUAUAAUGCUAGUUCCUCAGCAUUUGAUUUAACAUCCUAGUACUACAAAGUUUCUAUGGACUUUCAGGGCAGUUUUGAGUAAUGUCAUUAAAAUUGUCACAGGAGGUAGUGUCUUUCAAUAUUUCAUUCUUUUAUGCUUAGUUUUUAAUUAUUCCUUGUUUAAUUAGCUCUGAAAACAAGUGCUCUUUCCCAGCAAAGAAGAACGUGACU
Long non-coding RNA from Pezoporus occidentalis (night parrot), 1197 nucleotides. RefSeq lists it as uncharacterized. The transcript has 5 exons. The record is from RefSeq and is a predicted model, not a curated record. Lineage: Eukaryota; Metazoa; Chordata; Aves; Psittaciformes; Psittacidae.